AGACUAUUUGCUUCUCCAGAUAUAGUCACUUAUCACCGAUAUAGAAAUUCACCCAAUAAUUUAAUUGUGAUUUGGAGCCAAAUAAUAUGUAGCUUCCAUCUCAAGCCACAACAGUCAUUAAUUUGAAUGUCAAGUUGUCAACUAAGCAAAUAUAUAAACCUGUAAUGAACAAAUUUUAAAAUGAAUUGACUUGAUUCCUUCAAAGGCAAACACGUUAAACAACAUUCCCUUCGGCCACCUUUAGAUUUAAAAAAAAUCUAACAUUUCCAAUGAUCUAAAUCAAUAUCAUGUUGAAAUAUUACCCAAAUCCUUUAGUUAUCCACCGUCAUUGGUGAAAUAUUUUAAGAAAAUAAUAAAUAAAUAAGUUGGGUUUACUCAAGCCACAACAUAAAACAUACUUGAAGAAUCAGUAGAAUAAUACCUCAAAAAAGGGAGCGAAUUGGGGGUUAAAGGUCACUGAACUUUCCCUCUCUCUAUUUCUGUCGGACUAUGGAAGCAGUCUCACCGUGGGUCUGGGUCGAGGCGGCGGCGAGGGAGGUGGAGGAGUAGUAUUACCCAAAUCCUUUAGUUAUCCACCGUCAUUGGUGAAAUAUUUUAAGAAAAUAAUAAAUAAAUAAGUUGGGUUUACUCAUCUUAUACAAAUUCAUCUAAUUAUAAUAGCCAAGAGGAAAUCAGAAAAAACUUUCCCUCUCUCUAUUUCUGUCGGACUAUGGAAGCCAGUCUCACCGUGGGUCUGGGUCGAGGCGGCGGCGGGGGAGGUGGAGGAGUAGGAUGAAGAAGAAGGGUCGGUGCUCGUUUUCGUCGGUGGAAAAUUGAAAGGAGCGAGAGAAGGGGAACAGGUAUAUGGAAGUGAAAUAGGAGCGAGGGUAGUGAAGAAGAGGAAGAUGAAGAGAGAAGAGAGGAACGGUUGGGAAAUUGAAAGGAGCGAGAGAAGGGGAGCAGGUAUAUGGAACUGAAAUAGGGGUGAGGAAGAGGAAGAGGAAGAGGAAGAGGAAGAGAGGAACGGUUUUGGCUCGAUUCCAAUUUCGGGUUAGUUUUUGAGCGAGUUAACUCGUGUUGGAAUUUUAAAUUAAG
RNAcentral lists this long non-coding RNA (1074 nucleotides) under Panax ginseng (ginseng). RNAcentral's name for it is "long non-coding RNA (PGIN_LNC016449)". Lineage: Eukaryota; Viridiplantae; Streptophyta; Magnoliopsida; Apiales; Araliaceae. The record is from RNAcentral.